RNAcentral lists this unclassified non-coding RNA (345 nucleotides) under soil metagenome. RNAcentral's name for it is "partial contains 5.8S ribosomal RNA, internal transcribed spacer 2, and large subunit ribosomal RNA". The stretch from base 1 to 120 matches the Rfam family "5.8S ribosomal RNA", at positions 35 to 154 of the family's 154-position model. The record is from RNAcentral.
GAUGAAGAACGUAGCGAAAUGCGAUACGUAAUGUGAAUUGCAGAAUUCAGUGAAUCAUCGAGUCUUUGAACGCACAUUGCGCCCCCUGGUAUUCCGGGGGGCAUGCCUGUCCGAGCGUCAUUGCUGCCCUCAAGCACGGCUUGUGUGUUGGGCCUCCGUCCUCCUCCCGGGGGACGGGCCCGAAAGGCAGCGGCGGCACCGCGUCCGGUCCUCGAGCGUAUGGGGCUUCGUCACCCGCUCUUGUAGGCCCGGCCGGCGCUUGCCGACACAUCAAUAUUUUUUCUAGGUUGACCUCGGAUCAGGUAGGGAUACCCGCUGAACUUAAGCAUAUCAAUAAGCGGAGGA